This 356-nucleotide ribosomal RNA is filed under the name uncultured bacterium. RNAcentral's name for it is "bacterial SSU rRNA". It matches the Rfam family "Archaeal small subunit ribosomal RNA", at positions 390 to 747 of the family's 1478-position model. The record is from RNAcentral.
UCCUGCUAAAGGAAUCUUUUGUUAGUCAUAAAACCACUGAUGAAUAAGGGGUGGGCAAGUUCUGGUGUCAGCCGCCGCGGUAAAACCAGCACCUCGAGUGGUCAGGAGGUUUAUUGGGCCUAAAGCAUCCGUAGCCGGCUGCUCAAGUUUCCGGUUAAAUCCACACGCUUAACGUAUGGGCUGCCGGAAAUACUGUUCAGCUAGGGAGUGGGAGAGGUAGACGGUACUCGAUAGGAAGGGGUAAAAUCCUUUGAUCUAUUGAUGACCACCUGUGGCGAAGGCGGUCUACCAGAACACGUUCGACGGUGAGGGAUGAAAGCUGGGGGAGCAAACCGGAUUAGAUACCCGCGUAGUCC